AACGAACGCUGGCGGCAGGCUUAACACAUGCAAGUCGAACGCGAAAUCACCUUCGGGUGGUGGAGAGUGGCAGACGGGUGAGUAACGCGUGGGAACCUACCUAGUGGUACGGAAUAACCCAGGGAAACUUGGGCUAAUACCGUAUGUGCCCGAAAGGGGAAAGAUUCAUCGCCACUAGAUGGGCCCGCGUCGGAUUAGCUUGUUGGUGAGGUAACGGCUCACCAAGGCGACGAUCCGUAGCUGGUCUGAGAGGAUGAUCAGCCACACUGGGACUGAGACACGGCCCAGACUCCUACGGGAGGCAGCAGUGGGGAAUAUUGGACAAUGGGCGCAAGCCUGAUCCAGCCAUGCCGCGUGAGUGAUGAAGGCCCUGGGGUUGUAAAGCUCUUUCGGCGGGGACGAUAAUGACGGUACCCGCAGAAGAAGCCCCGGCUAACUUCGUGCCAGCCGCCGCGGUAA
Molecule: ribosomal RNA, 459 nt
Filed under: uncultured bacterium
Lineage: Bacteria
Description: partial 16S ribosomal RNA
Rfam family: Bacterial small subunit ribosomal RNA
Source: RNAcentral